AUCUCCCGGCUGGGCGAGACUCGGGUUAAACAGGCGAUGCCAGGCCCUACCGGAUCUGCAACCGGCGCUAGCGGCCCAGCGUCCACGGCUGGUUUAAAGGGGCGCUGCCGAAAUCCAACCCUGGUUAUCAGACCUCCUCCUUCGGAGGGGGUGCACGCCGGCAGAGAGCCCCCAAAUUAGUCAGUCUUAUCGCAAAGGUAGCUUAGCGCUCUCGGAAUCCAGCAUCAGGUGCCGCUAGACUCAUUCAUGUAUUCGUCCAAGAAAUUGAUUCAUUCAGCAAAUAUUUACUGCCCCAUUGUUAGAGGAACUUUCAUUGUAGUAGGGAGAAAGACGGUAAUAAAUACAGAUAAAAUAGUGGUAUCAUGAGGAAAAAUAAAGCAGGGAAUGGGAAAUAGAUGUCUGUUUAACAUAGCGUGGACAGGGGACAUUUCAUCAGUUCUUUCCGCAGAUAAUUUGUGAAAUUGCCCGUGAUGGGCCAGGCGGUGUUCUAGACCCUGGAGAUACAGAGGCGUAUCAGGACAGACAAGAAUCCCUCAUGCAGCUUAAGUGCUAGCAGGAGAGACAGAAAAUAAACGAGAUACAUUAGUAAAAUUAAAUACUGUUAGGCAGUGCUAAACGAGAGAGAGAAAAAUAAAAGCAGGGGAUAGAGAUGGGGAAUAAGGAAGUGGUCAUUUUAGACAGACUGGCUAGGUGAGGAGGAAGGUCUCAAGAAAAAGGUGACCUUUGACUGAAGACCAAGGGAGGCAAAGGAGUAGUCCUGUGGACCCCUGGGGGAAGAGCAGAGGGAACCCCAAAGGCCCUGUUACCUGGGUGCUUGGCCUGCUCAAGGAAAGCCAGUGUGGCUGGAGCUCCAUUGGGGCGCCUGGAUGGCUCAGUCCAUUAAACAUCUGACUUCGGCUCAAGUUAUGAUCUCCGGGUUGAUGAAAGAUGGCAUACUUCAACUGCAUUUGGGGAAGAUACAAGGUGCGCUGAAUGUAGGUACAGAAAGGUCCCUUAUUUUGAUUGACAAGAUCUUAGGUCAGGAAUACCAGAAGAGGGGCUGAUGCUGGGAGGAGAGAGGAGUCAAGCAGUGGCUGAAGUGAAGGAAGAACAUUUCCUUAUUCUUUAAUCCUCUAAAUCCCUUUUAGUUCCUUACUUAAUCUCCUCACCCCUCCCCAAACACAGCCACUCGUGAAACAGAAAUUCUAGAAAUAAAGUUUGCACUUAGCAUUCUCCCAGUCCCUUGGGAUCCCCCAUUAAUGAAUACAACCACUGUCAGAAAAGCCCAACAACAAAAAAUAAUCUUCAAAACUCCUAUACUUUAAAUUACUAAAGCACAUCUUUAUUUUGCAAUUGAACAAUUAAAAGUCACAGCUAGAGUUUUUUCACGUCUGUACCUGAACAACUAUUUCUCAAUCAAAAUGAAAUAUGGCCAACAAAAUAUGUGUAAUAGCAUUGCACGUAACAAGUUGCUCUUAGGACUAAAACAGUUUUAAUGUGAAUCAGCAUUUUAAUC
Acinonyx jubatus (cheetah) is the source of this 1495-nucleotide long non-coding RNA. RefSeq lists it as uncharacterized. NCBI's taxonomy places the organism in Eukaryota, Metazoa, Chordata, Mammalia, Carnivora, Felidae. The transcript is spliced from 3 exons. The record is from RefSeq and is a predicted model, not a curated record.